Molecule: ribosomal RNA, 311 nt
Filed under: uncultured eukaryote
Lineage: Eukaryota
Description: partial 18S ribosomal RNA
Rfam family: Eukaryotic small subunit ribosomal RNA
Source: RNAcentral
CCCCUAGACGUUCUGGGCUGCACGCGCGCUACAAUAAUACGCACAGCGAGUAUCACCGAGCUCGAAAGGGCAAGGUAAACAAUAGAAAAGGAACUGUAAUGGUUAUAGAUCCUUGUAAUUAUUGAUCUUCAACGAGGAAUUCCUAGUAAGUAUGUGUCAUCAUCACGCACUGAUUACGUCCCUGCCCUUUGUACACACCGCCCGUCGCUCCUACCGAUUGAGUGAGCCGAUGAAACUGCCGGAUGUGGACUAUUCAUAGUCUGCAGAAGAUAUUUGAAUCGUAGCGCUUAGAGGAAGGAGAAGUCGUAACA